AAGUAGAAUUUUGUUAUUUUGGUACUGCACUACUUACCUUCUCCUUGAAAAAAACAAGCCCAAAUACCAAAGGCUUGAGCCACCACCUCUUGAACAAAUCCAACAACAGCUACAGGUUGAGCCCUUGGAACCUGACCAAGUCAAACAACUUAAUCAUUCACUGAAGCAAGAUGAAUCAAACCAGCAGCUUGAAAUCCGACCAUUUAUCUUGGAAGGUGCUAAGUAAAGGAGAUCAUUUCUUUUGCAAUAAAGGAGGUUCUCAUGCCUUUUCUAGCUGCUAUUGUAGAACUUGACAACAAUAAGUUGAUUUACGUAUAUCUCAAACUCAAGCAGCUAAGAAAUCUCUCAUGUAGAAUGUUGCAAUCGAGUCCUAACGCCAUCGAAAUAUGUCAUCUUUCAGUAUAAUUGAAUGUGUGUCACGCUUCUUUUGUGCAGCAUGAUGAACCAUUCUCAUUGAUAUCAAAGUUUCAGUCAUUUUAAAUUUUCAAUGCAUUGACACAUUGCCUCUUUUUUCUUUUAUGAAACACAAGGGUCAUCAUUGUAAAGUUGUCUCACCUGAAUGGAAUUUCACCAUUUCAACCAACUUUGAUAACAAGUUGUAGUUUUGUACCAUGGGAGAAGUUAACGGCGCGAAUGUAGCUUACAACUUAUGCUUGAUUUCCUUAUGACGCUUUCAACAGAAUAUUUUUCAUGCAGAGAGAGCUUUGUUAUACCAAUUCAACUGGCAUCAUCAAGUUCAGUCAUUUUCACUUUUGACUUUUGCAAUGAGAACA
Molecule: unclassified non-coding RNA, 773 nt
Filed under: Hevea brasiliensis (rubber tree)
Lineage: Eukaryota; Viridiplantae; Streptophyta; Magnoliopsida; Malpighiales; Euphorbiaceae
Source: RNAcentral